RNAcentral lists this ribosomal RNA (204 nucleotides) under uncultured bacterium. RNAcentral's name for it is "partial 16S ribosomal RNA". It matches the Rfam family "Bacterial small subunit ribosomal RNA", at positions 524 to 726 of the family's 1533-position model. The record is from RNAcentral.
UACGUAGGGUGCAAGCGUUGUCCGGAAUUAUUGGGCGUAAAGAGCUCGUAGGCGGUUUGUUGCGUCGGCUGUGAAUCCCGAGGCUCAACCUCGGUCUGCAGUCGAUACGAGCAAACUAGAGUGUUGCAAGGGGAGACUGGAAUUCCGUGGUGAUAGCGGUGAAAUGCGCAGAUAUCAGGAGGAACACCGGUGGCGAAGGCGGGU